This 248-nucleotide unclassified non-coding RNA is filed under the name Hevea brasiliensis (rubber tree). The record is from RNAcentral. Lineage: Eukaryota; Viridiplantae; Streptophyta; Magnoliopsida; Malpighiales; Euphorbiaceae.
AAGAAAUUUUUUACUCUUUAGCUGGUUAGUAAGAUACAAUUCACUCACUCUUUCAGAUCAAUUUCUGAAUCAUCUCAAUAUAGUAGUUCAGAAUCAUCCAUCAUUCAAUAAAUUGAGCAUGUUACUGCUCAACCAUCUACUAUAUUUUGCUAAGAUAUUGGCCCAUGCUGAACUCUCUGCUUAAUUCUUGAUGCAGAAUUUUUUUUUUCUUUGGAAUUUUGGUUCUGGAUCUGAAUUGUAUCACCAUU